AGCCCCCGUGAAGGCUCGCACCUCCCACCUCCCGCAAGGGCCGCCAUCUCCCACCUUCAGGCCGCGCCGCGAGGAUCUUGAUCUCCAGGCGUGGUGGUCGAGGGUGCCCGUCGCUGUAGUCCCCAGCCUGGAUCCAAUCGACAAGGCCGCCACUGCCGCACCGGCCGUCCCGAGCCCCGCCGCGAGCGGCCACAUCGGUGCAGGAUCCGACCGCCACGGGCCCCUAGCGAUGUCUUCGGUAGUGGAUCCGACCAUCACGGGCGACGUUGCCACUGGUGUCCACCGACUCCUGCGGCCACAAGUCUCCUUCCCUCCUCUCCUGAUCUGGCCUUCUCGACGACCACGGAGGCACACCUCCUGCUGCAGCUCGCCCGCGUGGCUUGGCUGCCCAGAGGAGGAGCACGCGGCAAGCUUCCCCUUCCUCCUCUCUGGCGACGGCUCCGACGAGCUCCCUACGCGCGCCUCUGUCUUGCGCAGCGGCGGCCGACCCCGCCUUUCACCAGUCCGGCGAUGAUAGGCUGCGGGAUGCCGACGUGUUUGUCAGGCUGUGGUUCUCCUAUGGUCGCGCAGCGGUCCAGUUGCCGCCCAGCUCACGGUUCACAUCCCCUGCUCAGCCCCGAUCUUCAAACAACGCUGCCGUGCCCCAUGCGUGAGGAGGCUCUGUUGACAAAGUCCGUAAUCGUGGCCGUGCACCUCGUCGACGGUGUUGUGCGGUAAGCUGCGUGGGGGCGUGUGGUUCGGCGCCCGUGGACGUCCAGUUCUUUUUUCAGGGUGCCCAGAUUUCAAAAUUGUUGUGUGGUUUGGCGCCCCGUGGAGGUGCAGUUAGGCGUAUAUGUGUUUCUUUAUUCUUCCACAAAUGGUGCUGAAAGCAGAUUUGCACGGUACCAAGUUGUUAUUUCCGCUGUUUCUGACAAUUUGCAGCCGUGCGUCUAUAGGAUUCAUCAGCUGCUCAAAUUGCAUAUGCAUUUCAGCUCAGAAGAGAAACUGAUGCUCGUUUGGGUUUUCUUUUGGAUUGCUGACUUUCAACAAGGCCGCCGGCUUGACCACCUUCAUCCUCCGUCGCAAUAAGAUACAAGACGAGCAGUAGCUCACCGCGGCUUGGAGUUCACUUUUUUUGUGUUCUUCACAUUUUUACUGUUAAUCUAGUGAAUUCUAUGCAGUGAAUUUUCUAAUGUUGUUAGAUUCCUUUGUACAGUUUGCUGGGUGAUGUGUGCCUUGCACUGUAGUUCAAUCGCUGCUCUCCGGUUCAAUUUUAAUAGUCUUUUUUGCAGGAGAGGAGAAUUAUGGCACAAAAAAGAAAAAAAGGGGUACUGCGAUCAGGGAUGCAGUUCUUUUUCUAGCCCAGUUCAGGGGGUUGCAAAAAGUGUAGAAAUUGGAGAGACUAGAUAUCACUAUAUUUGUAUUUUCAUGGGCUGUUGUGCAAAUUAAAAAGAACAAAAAAUGAAGUUUUGGUGCAGUUUGAAUGCAUUUUUUUGUGAA
Molecule: long non-coding RNA, 1479 nt
Organism: Triticum dicoccoides
Lineage: Eukaryota; Viridiplantae; Streptophyta; Magnoliopsida; Poales; Poaceae
Exons: 2
Source: RefSeq, a predicted model, not a curated record